GAGUUUGAUUAUGGCUCAGGAUGAACGCUGGCGGCGUGCGUAACACAUGCAAGUUGGACGACGGUAUCAUGAAGUGGUAACACGGAGUGAUGUACGGAGUAGCGGACGGGUGAGUAUAACAUGAGAAGCUGUCCUGUCGAGGGGGAUAACGUUCGGAAACGGACCCUAAUACCCCAUAGGCCUUAGGGUUAAAGCAGCGAUGCGCGACAGGGGGUGCUCGUGACCUAUCAGCUGGUUGGUGAGGUAACGGCUCACCAAGGCGACGACGGGUAGCCGGCCUGAGAGGGUGACCGGCCACACUGGAACUGAGAUACGGUCCAGACUCCUACGGGAGGCAGCAGUGGGGAAUAUUGGGCAAUGGGAGGAAUCCUGACCCAGCGACGCCGCGUGAACGAAGAAGGCCUUCGGGUCGUAAAGUUCUUUUAUGUGGGAAGAAGGAAGUGACG
This 446-nucleotide ribosomal RNA is filed under the name Synergistales bacterium canine oral taxon 094. Its description in RNAcentral is "bacterial SSU rRNA". It matches the Rfam family "Bacterial small subunit ribosomal RNA", at positions 9 to 474 of the family's 1533-position model. Lineage: Bacteria; Thermotogati; Synergistota; Synergistia; Synergistales. The record is from RNAcentral.